GAUGAACGCUGGCGGCGUGCCUAAUACAUCCAAGUCGAGCGAACAGACGAGGAGCUUGCUCCUCUGACGUUAGCGGCGGACGGGUGAGUAACACGUGGAUAACCUACCUAUAAGACUGGGAUAACUUCGGGAAACCGGAGCUAAUACCGGAUAAUAUAUUGAACCGCAUGAUUCAAUAGUGAAAGACGGUUUUGCUGUCACUUAUAGAUGGAUCCGCGCCGCAUUAGCUAGUUGGUAAGGUAACGGCUUACCAAGGCAACGAUGCGUAGCCGACCUGAGAGGGUGAUCGGCCACACUGGAACUGAGACACGGUCCAGACGCCUACGGGAGGCAGCAGUAGGGAAUCUUCCGCAAUGGGCGAAAGCCUGACGGAGCAACGCCGCGUGAGUGAUGAAGGUCUUCGGAUCGUAAAACUCUGUUAUUAGGGAAGAACAAAUGUGUAAGUAACUAUGCACGUCUUGACGGUACCGAAUCAGAAAGCCACGGCUAACUACGU
This 496-nucleotide ribosomal RNA is filed under the name uncultured bacterium. RNAcentral describes it as "partial 16S ribosomal RNA". It matches the Rfam family "Bacterial small subunit ribosomal RNA", at positions 28 to 506 of the family's 1533-position model. The record is from RNAcentral.